AAGUCGGUCUCCGUAGGUGAACCUGCGGAGGGAUCAUUAACACGUUUCCGAACGUUUAACAUAUUCACAUCAACCGCGUGAUAUAAUUGAAUCAAAACCCCAAUGGAAGAUCGAGAAUUCUAUCUAGAAUGCACGGAGUGAUGAGUGCGUAUUGCGAGCUUGCUCGCUUGCGCAACUGGUGUACCUAGAUUAGUAUUGCUGAUAGUCUCACUGUAUGCGAGCAAUCGCGUGCCUUGAUUCCAGACUCUACAAGACCUCUUUUAACCAUAGUUCCCUUCAUCGCUGGAACGCAAACAACCAUUUUCACAUCUUAUAACCACUUGACAGGUUCUCAGCGUAGCGAAAGCCGCGUAUGAAACCACAAAUAAUCAAAUAUCUAAGCACAACUCUUAGCAACGGAUAUCUUGGUUCUC
RNAcentral lists this unclassified non-coding RNA (413 nucleotides) under fungal sp. RNAcentral's name for it is "partial internal transcribed spacer region". The record is from RNAcentral. Lineage: Eukaryota; Fungi.